This is a long non-coding RNA of Acinonyx jubatus (cheetah), 650 nucleotides long. RefSeq lists it as uncharacterized. The record is from RefSeq and is a predicted model, not a curated record. The transcript has 2 exons. NCBI's taxonomy places the organism in Eukaryota, Metazoa, Chordata, Mammalia, Carnivora, Felidae.
UCUAUUGAGGACUUCGGAACGAAGCCUGUGAGAACCCAGCUCUGGCCGAUUGCACAAUUUCUCCCCUAGGUGGCGGCAGCGCACAAGCUGUGCAAGGGCAAGCCUCUGACCCCUGGAAACCAGAGCCUGGAAAGUGAAGAGAACUCAACCGGGAAGUGAGGGCACAACUGCUUCCUAAACAGGCAGCCAGCCCACGAUAGCUGGAGGCGUGUUGGGUCUCUGAGGAGAGCGCUGGAUGACUCCGAGAGUUUGGAGCGUUAUGUGUUAAUACCAAGUGACGUGGAGAAUUAACAAGAGCCGCUAAAAAAGUUGACUACUAGGGACCAAAGCCUCAAGUCCCCCCCGGGGCCAGGAGUCCAACAACUGCAUUUCUCAGACUCCCCUGCGAGCUGUUUACCGGGGAAGCCCUGUCAGCAGGAGGCACCAGUGGGAAACCAGAAGAGGAGCCUCUCCUUGUGUGUGGCACUGGAAGCAGCAGCCGGAGCUGGUGAUAACGGGUUCCAACAACGUCACUGCGGUCAAAGCAGCGACAAAGUUCCAGAAACCACAGCAGCAGCUCCAGCCCAGGUAGCAGAUUCCUGAUCUCUGGACGAUCCCCGUCCUCAUCCCAUUUUUACCUUCUCCAGUUUGGCCAACACGUUUGUAACCGA